RNAcentral lists this transfer RNA (76 nucleotides) under Prevotella sp. tf2-5. RNAcentral describes it as "tRNA_Pseudo_TTT". Lineage: Bacteria; Pseudomonadati; Bacteroidota; Bacteroidia; Bacteroidales; Prevotellaceae. The record is from RNAcentral.
GAUCCGUUAGCUCAGUUGGUAGGGCACAACACUUUUAAUGUUGGGGGCUUGGGUUCUUUCAGUCGCUUUCGCUUUA